RNAcentral lists this ribosomal RNA (253 nucleotides) under uncultured bacterium. RNAcentral describes it as "partial 16S ribosomal RNA". It matches the Rfam family "Bacterial small subunit ribosomal RNA", at positions 524 to 776 of the family's 1533-position model. The record is from RNAcentral.
UACAGAGGUCCCAAGCGUUGUUCGGAUUCACUGGGCGUAAAGGGUGCGUAGGUGGCGGGGUCAGUCUGAUGUGAAAUCUCCGGGCUUAACCCGGAAAUGGCGUUGGAAACUACCUUGCUUGAGGGUUGGAGGGGGGACUGGAAUACUUGGUGUAGCAGUGAAAUGCGUAGAUAUCAAGUGGAACACCAGUGGCGAAGGCGAGUCCCUGGACAACUCCUGACACUGAGGCACGAAAGCUAGGGGAGCAAACGGG